RNAcentral lists this ribosomal RNA (824 nucleotides) under Perkinsea sp. 1 ARe-2019a. RNAcentral describes it as "Perkinsozoa sp. ARe-2019a partial large subunit ribosomal RNA". It matches the Rfam family "Eukaryotic large subunit ribosomal RNA", at positions 43 to 949 of the family's 3401-position model. The record is from RNAcentral. Lineage: Eukaryota; Perkinsozoa.
AUACUAAGCGGAGGAAAGGAAAUUAACAAAGAUGCCCCUAGUAACGGCGAGUGAAGAGGGCGGCACACAGCACCGAAGCGGGUACACUUGUUGUAAUCGCGUUGUGGUGUCAUGCAUGUGUUCGGUGUCGUGCGCAUACCCUAUACCUUGGAAAGGGUAGGCAGGGAAGGUGAUACUCCUCUCCGGUAUGCGUUCUACGGCUGGUAGGAUAUAUGCACAAAAGAGUCACGUUCCUUUGUAGUGGAGCGCCAAUGGGUGGUACACGUCACCUAAUGUUCGAUACAAACUGAGUUCGAUAGCGUACAAGUACCGUGAGGGAAAGGUGAAAAGUACUCUGAAAGGAGAGUUAAACGCGUUUGAAAUUGCAGGGGGGGAAGCGCAUGCAGGUGUGACUAUUGCGAGUAAUAUUGUGAUAUCUCAUCGGUGUUUCGUGGUCUUCAGCUGGGGUACACUAAGUUUCGGCGAGGUGUGGCCUGGGGGAGAACGCGGAAUAUACACAGUCGUACAUUGACUGUCUGAGGAGUUUACAUCCCUGCAUUUGACCCGUCUUGAAACACGGACUAAGGAGUCUAUCGUUGACGCGAGUGUGUUGAGAGAAUCUAACGCGCGUAAGGAAACUGAAUUCCGUUGCAGCGGAAUCCAAUUUCUCUCUUCGGGGAGAGAUGUGAGAAUGAGCGUGUGCGAUAGGACCCGAAAGGUGGUGAACUAUGCCUGAGCAGAGUGCAGCCAGGGGAAACUCUGGUGGAGGCUCGUAGCGUUACUGACGUGCAAAUCGUUCGUCAAACUUGGGUAUAGGGGCGAAAGACUAAUCGAACCACCUAGUA